UCGAGAAUCAUUCACAAUGGGGGCAACCCUGAUGGUGCAACGCCGCGUGGAGGAUGAAGGCCCUAGGGUCGUAAACUCCUGUCAUAAUAGAGUAAGACUUAGUCGUUAAUAGCUUCUAAGUUUGAUAGUAUAUUAAGAGGAAGGGACGGCUAACUUCGUGCCAGCAGCCGCGGUAAUACGAAGGUCCCGAGCGUUAUUCGGAAUCACUGGGCGUAAAGGGAGCGUAGGCUGCGUGGUAAGUCAGAUGUGAAAGCCCAGGGCUCAACCCUGGAACUGCAUUCGAUACUGCCAUGCUAGAGUAGUGGAGAGGUAAAUGGAAUUUUGGGUGUAGCAGUGAAAUGCGUAGAUAUUCAAAGGAAGACCAAUGGCGAAGGCAAUUUACUGGACACUUACUGACGCUGAGGCUCGAAGGCUAGGGGAGCGAAAGGG
RNAcentral lists this ribosomal RNA (429 nucleotides) under uncultured Rubritalea sp. RNAcentral's name for it is "bacterial SSU rRNA". It matches the Rfam family "Bacterial small subunit ribosomal RNA", at positions 355 to 776 of the family's 1533-position model. Lineage: Bacteria; Pseudomonadati; Verrucomicrobiota; Verrucomicrobiia; Verrucomicrobiales; Rubritaleaceae. The record is from RNAcentral.